This 497-nucleotide ribosomal RNA is filed under the name uncultured bacterium. RNAcentral's name for it is "partial 16S ribosomal RNA". It matches the Rfam family "Bacterial small subunit ribosomal RNA", at positions 28 to 507 of the family's 1533-position model. The record is from RNAcentral.
GAUGAACGCUGGCGGCGUGCCUAAUACAUGCAAGUCGAGCGAACAGACGAGGAGCUUGCUCCUCUGACGUUAGCGGCGGACGGGUGAGUAACACGUGGAUAACCUACCUAUAAGACUGGGAUAACUUCGGGAAACCGGAGCUAAUACCGGAUAAUAUAUUGAACCGCAUGGUUCAAUAGUGAAAGACGGUCUUGCUGUCACUUAUAGAUGGAUCCGCGCUGCAUUAGCUAGUUGGUAAGGUAACGGCUUACCAAGGCGACGAUGCGUAGCCGACCUGAGAGGGUGAUCGGCCACACUGGAACUGAGACACGGUCCAGACUCCUACGGGAGGCAGCAGUAGGGAAUCUUCCGCAAUGGGCGAAAGCUUGACGGAGCAACGCCGCGUGAGUGAUGAAGGUCUUCGGAUCGUAAAACUCUGUUAUUAGGGAAGAACAAAUGUGUAAGUAACUAUGCACGUCUUGACGGUACCUAAUCAGAAAGCCACGGCUAACUACGUG